GCCGGGUGCGGUGGCGCACGCCUGUAGUCCCAGCUACUCGGGAGGCUGAGGCUGGAAGAUCGCUUGAGCCCAGGAGUUCUGGGCUGUCGUGCGCUAUGCGGAGAUCGGGCGUCCGCACUAAGUUCGGCAUCAAUAUGGUGACCUCCUGGGAGCGGGGGGCCACCAGGUUGCCUAAGGAGGGGGGAACCGGCCCAGGGCGGAGACGGAGCAGGUCAAAGCUCCCGUGCUGAUCAGUAGUGGGAUCGCGCCUGUGAAUAGCCACUGCACUCCAGCCUGGGCAGCAUAGCGAGACCCCGUCUCUA
RNAcentral lists this signal recognition particle RNA (302 nucleotides) under Myotis brandtii (Brandt's bat). Its description in RNAcentral is "Metazoan signal recognition particle RNA". It matches the Rfam family "Metazoan signal recognition particle RNA". Rfam says of the family: The signal recognition particle (SRP) is a universally conserved ribonucleoprotein. The record is from Rfam by way of RNAcentral. Lineage: Eukaryota; Metazoa; Chordata; Mammalia; Chiroptera; Vespertilionidae.